Long non-coding RNA from Pogoniulus pusillus (Red-fronted tinkerbird), 293 nucleotides. RefSeq lists it as uncharacterized. Lineage: Eukaryota; Metazoa; Chordata; Aves; Piciformes; Lybiidae. The record is from RefSeq and is a predicted model, not a curated record. The transcript has 2 exons.
UGCUGCAAUCCAUGUCCCACUGCAAACAGAUUGAGCUAAAUGAUCAUCUGCAGAGUAACAUCAAUCAACACAUUUUUUGCCAGCCAGGAGUUCUGAGACCCCAACCCCUCACUCCUCACCCUUCCAGAGCAGGGGUGUUGGGAGCCCACAACACCAUCAGCCCACCCCAGCAGCAGCUUUGAACUCUCGAGUGCCUGCAAGGCUGUCAGAAGGGAAGGCAAACCAACAGGAUGCAAGAUGAUUAAUACCCAACACAGCCUGGGAAUGUAAUAAACUCUGCCUGGCCCUCUUAA